Molecule: ribosomal RNA, 253 nt
Filed under: uncultured bacterium
Lineage: Bacteria
Description: partial 16S ribosomal RNA
Rfam family: Bacterial small subunit ribosomal RNA
Source: RNAcentral
UACGGAGGGUGCAAGCGUUAUCCGGAUUCACUGGGUUUAAAGGGUGCGUAGGCGGGCAGGUAAGUCAGUGGUGAAAUCUCAGAGCUUAACUCUGAAACUGCCAUUGAUACUAUCUGUCUUGAAUGUUCUGGAGGUGAGCGGAAUAUGUCAUGUAGCGGUGAAAUGCUUAGAUAUCGAGAGGAACACCUGCGGCGAAGGCGGGUUGCUGGGCUGACACUGACGCUGAGGCGCGAAAGCCAGGGGAGCGAACGGG